GUGUUUCUUGAGUUGUACGAAAUAGCACACUAUAUUACAAAAUAUCUCAAUUCUUAUGCACAAGACAAAAAAGAAGAAUUCUUUUUGGAGGAAUACAUAAAAAGUCCUAAUGUAUGAAAAUUAUUGCUAUGAAACAUGUAUUAAUAACAUUGAUGUACAAAAUAACAUCCACUACUGUAUAAGUCUGAAAAAUAAUAAUACACAAGGUUUCCUGAGGGAAAUCCUGGAAGAUCAUGCACAACUAGUUUCUCAGCUCAGUGCCCUGAUGGGUUCCUAUUCCAUGACAAAUAUGAAGGAUCUCCAAGUUGCCUAUAACGAAGAGACAUACAGAUUAGUAGCUAAUCAUAUUUGAAAUUGCAAUUAUGCACGUUUGUUGAAAUGAGUUUGUGUCAAAACCACUAAACUUCACAAUUUCAACUGAUUCAUAUAAGGGACCGAAAAGAUUAACAUCAUUAGUAAGAAAGCGUAAGAUGUUAAUCUGGAUGCAUCUCAAAAACAUUAAAAUAUUUUAGAUUUAUGUACAAAUUCACAAAGACGUCGAUAUGAUAUAAACUUUCAAUUAUCAGACAGUUUUAAAAAAUAUGUAUCCAGUAAGUCAGUGUGACACUACCCAAGUAUUACAUCGGUGUAAUUGAAUACCUUCUAUAUGACAGAGAUCAAAAAUCAUAUUUAAACUUUUUUUUUUUUUUUUACGUCUUAAAUAUGUAAUGAAGAAAACUCUCACAUAUCAAAAAGUCUUCCAUAAAUAUAUACUUAAUUUGCAAUGCACUUAACAUAUAACUAACUCGAGCAAAACGUAGUUUAUAUUCAAAUUGACUUAAGGUUGAGCUAAUGAAAAUUCAGUUGGUUAGUAAAAAGUAAAAUAACCUAUUGUGUGCAAAGAGUGAAUGCAUUCAAUAUAUUAGAAAAACCAUAUAUGAAGUACGGAAAGUUAUAACGCUCCAAUGAACAUCAUCAUUUAAAAGGAAUUUGCAUAGCAGAAAGCAGCAAGUGAUUUUCUUACCUUGGCUUAACAAAAUAUACAAUAGUAAAAGCCAUGGCCAAGAAGAAGCUCAAUCCUCCAACAGAGAGAUAAGCAAUGCCAAGGAAGUCAUUCUUUCCUCCAAGCCAACUAGUAGUUGACAAUACAAGCUUCUUCUUGCCACUGAAACUAUAUGUGUUGUAGUUAUUCUGCAAUACCACUUUUAUCUCAUCACCUUUCUCCAGAUCCACCUCAAUCUUUCCAUACAACUUCCUAAAAGUUGGCAAAGCCGCAGUCCGCAUCCAAACAAUAAGAUCCUCCUGCUCACUCAACUGUUUCAUAAACAUUCAGAAAGUGAGUCACUUAUCUCAUUGAUGCAAGCAAAUUGAGAAUGUUGAUACAAUCACAAGAUGAACAGUGGAAUACACUGGAAAUCAUAAAAUCAGGAACAAAAAUGUGUAUACAUAUUAGGUUUUACAAAUGAUUGAUCUAUUUAAAGAUUGGUUUUAUAAAAGAAUCUUGCAAUAUCUGAAGUUUUGGCAAUAAGUUCUUUUACAAGUUCAAAUUAUCUUUUGCAGCAAAAUUGUUUCAGAAGAUCUCUCAUGUAACUUUUCUAUAUUUGUAUCUAUAAGCUUAUAAGAAAUUUAGAGUAAGUGAAAACCAUAAAACUAUUUUGACUGAAAAGACUCUAAUAGCUAGAUGCUAAUCAAAUGUCUUGUAAAAAACUUACCGGUAUACUCUCGUUGAGAUGAGCACCACCUGUAAUAUUACCAUUCUGGAAAUUUUUAGGGAAAACAUCACUUCCAAAUUUGUGAUCUCUAUCACUUUUCCAUGAGAUUUCUUUCUUGUUCACUGUGACAUUAUUGUUGUUGCGUGAGAAGCUGUAUGUAUCAUUGAACAUGCUCCAAGCUAUAAGACCACAAGGUACGAUUGGCACACCAUUUACAUCACGUUCAGGGUCACAACCACUUGUUGAGUUUGCUUUUCCAGCAUCCCUCAAUUGCUCAUCAUUUCGGCUUUUCACAUACCUAUUUUUUUUUUAAAAAAACAAACAUUCAUGAGAAUAUAAACAAAUAUACACAAUAUAUUAUAUAAAUAUGAUUACACCACUAAAAAACCAAUCAUUGAGAGUGGAAAUUAUAAAACGAAGCAAACAAUCAAAGACAGUGGAGACAUAAACUACUGUAAUUAUUUGUAUUUAUAUUCAAAAGGUAUACUCUAAAUGCAAGAUGAAUACAUGAAAAACAAAGUUCAUAUGAAUGCCUCUUUAAAUUUAAACUCACAAAUAGUUCAGUCAUCUUUUACAUAAUUCUGUAAAGUUGUUCAAAUUAUAGAACAUAAUCACAACUACAACUCUACAAUUUUAUAAUCAUUUGUAAAAACAUGUUGUGCAUUUUAAAUGAUAGCUUGCAAAUGAACUUCAUUUCAGUUGUCAAUCUAGCUAUUUUUGGCAAUCAUUUAUUACAAUAAACAAUACAGUUUUUUUCCUCAAACUUAAACAAUACCAAAUAAUCCUUUUUUUCACAUUAGAAAACCAUAAUGGGAACACAUGAAAACGAGAACAAAAUGUAGUGCAACGAACAACAUUUAUUCAUAGGAGAACAAUGUAUCAAAUUUCACAAAUCACAAUGACAAGAUGAAAGUUGUCACUCAACAACGACAUCCAAACAAUCGAGGGAGGUACGCAACAAAAUCUAAAGAACAUGAGAAAUGUGAAAUUCAAACAGAAAAUGAAUGUCUGAUUCAUGAGAAAUAAAAGGGAACAUACCGUCGGUGAUUCUGGUAGAAGUUGUCAAGCUGAUAGUAAACAUAGAUAGGAGACUUCAUACGCUUCUCCACCUAUUCAUAAGAGUAGUUUUUAAAACAAAUGAUGAUCAAAAUUUGGAAUUCACAAUUCAUCAAUUAUAAGAACAGAGUUAAUGCAGAAAUAAGUAGGAACAAGUACAAAGAGAAAAUGGAGUCAAUGAACCAUACAUGCAGUGUCCUUGUGCAAGUUUUAUCGGCAGUACUCUGAAUGUAUGCUACGUUAUCUGUCCAAUUUGACGGUACGCAUGCUGCCUCAUACCUAUCAACAAUUUCAACAACCUGAUACAAAGAUCAGUAAUAACAAAUUAAAAGUCAGCACAAGGAAUUAUACACAUACUAUUUAGAGCUGUAAACAAAAUUUGAAAAACAAUAUUGCAUUCAAGCGUACAUCUCGUGAAGCAAUAAGUGAAGCAACUCCAAUAGGAAUGAAUACGAUGGUGACAAUCAAGAACGCUGAAAUAACCUGAAAGGAAAGUAAUAUAUCAUGUAAAUAGUGACUUCUAAAUACAUAUAGGCUAAAUAGAUAAUCACAAACACUAUAUACAAACAAACAUAUUUACCGCUUGUGGUGUAAGAAUAGGCUUGCAUGCUGGUAGUUCUUGUUGCGUAAACUUUGAGUCUGAAAGACAAGAAAAUAUUCAAAGAGAACUCUAGUCAGCAAAUAUAGCAACAAACAAAAACAAAAAAAAUCACCCAAAUACAAUUGUUGUCAAAUCCAAACUUAUUGUCUAACUCCAUAGAUCAUUCAUAACUUCAUAGGACAUUCUUCAACUAGCUCAACCAUAAUAAUCAACAUGUCAAAUUAAGUUUCAAAAACCACGGAGUAAUAUUUGCUUAAACAAAAGCCACAAUUAGAUUGGCUCAUUUGAGCUUUAUCUACAGACAUAAGUUUUGUGGACUAUUUGGAAGAACUUAUGAUAACAGCCUAUGACAUUGUUCGUAAACUGUUUUCAACUCAUAUUUAUAAGUUCUCUGAGAUAACUUAUGAAGACAGCUUAUACGAAAACCAUUUAACUUUAUUUUAUCUUUUGCUAUAGUAAUAGCUUAAACAUAAGCACUUAUGAUGAUAAGUGCAUAUGGUAUAAGCUGCAAAUAAGUUGUUCACCUAAACAGGGCUAAAGUCUUAUAUUCAUGAAAUAGAAAUCCCUUCAAAAAGUAACAUAAAAAAAAAGUAAUAAUAAACAUGUCAAACAAGUUUCCAAAACCAUGAGGUAAUAUUUGAACAAAACCCCUUAAAAAAUGAACAUAAAAAUACAAAAUUUACAUAAGAAACAGAACCAAAUUAGAAAAAACAAAACAUGGGCAUGAACAAAAUGAGCUUAAAACCCUAAAAAAUAAUUAAUCAGAAGAUAAAACAAAAAAUCUUACACUUGGGUCGUUUUGUUUGUCUCCUAUUAGUAGUAAGAUCAUUGGAUCCAACGCUGGUUGAAGCCAUAACAGAAUCACCAAUUCAAUCCAAUCCAAUAAUGAAAAUAUUAACCUUUUGCAAAGAGCUUCAAAGAACAAAGAAGAUAAC
RNAcentral lists this long non-coding RNA (4283 nucleotides) under Medicago truncatula (barrel medic). Its description in RNAcentral is "lncRNA gene46823". Lineage: Eukaryota; Viridiplantae; Streptophyta; Magnoliopsida; Fabales; Fabaceae. The record is from RNAcentral.